Long non-coding RNA from Hippocampus comes (tiger tail seahorse), 333 nucleotides. RefSeq lists it as uncharacterized. The transcript has 2 exons. NCBI's taxonomy places the organism in Eukaryota, Metazoa, Chordata, Actinopteri, Syngnathiformes, Syngnathidae. The record is from RefSeq and is a predicted model, not a curated record.
ACCCUUGUGAGGAUAAAGCAGAGCGGAAAAUGGAUGGAUGGAAGUGAAAUGCAUCUUGAAUCGGAUUCAGAAGUGCCCCCACCAUGCAGCACCACCCCUCUCUCCAGACACCUUAAUAUGAUGGCCAAAGAACAACAGCUGCCCCCCACACGUCCCAUCAAAGCUCAUCCUGUCCCAGGAUCACUACAGCACAUAUGCAACACACAUGCACACGCGCACGCACACAGAGGCUAUAUUUCAACCAUCAUUUCCUCCAACACCUCGGCAGAAUGACAGGCCUUGAGGGGUGGGGGUCAUGGAUGUUGGGCACCAGUUAAAUUUAGAACUUAAAUU